GACUAAGCGUACACGGUGGAUGCCCUGGCAGUCAGAGGCGAUGAAGGACGUGCUAAUCUGCGAUAAGCGCCGGUAAGGUGAUAUGAACCGUUAUAACCGGCGAUUUCCGAAUGGGGAAACCCAGUGUGAUUCGUCACACUAUCAUUAACUGAAUCCAUAGGUUAAUGAGGCGAACCGGGGGAACUGAAACAUCUAAGUACCCCGAGGAAAAGAAAUCAACCGAGAUUCCCCCAGUAGCGGCGAGCGAACGGGGAGGAGCCCAGAGCCUGAAUCAGCAUGUGUGUUAGUGGAAGCGUCUGGAAAGGCGCGCGAUACAGGGUGACAGCCCCGUACACAAAAGCGCAUGUGCUGUGAGCUCGAUGAGUAGGGCGGGACACGUGGUAUCCUGUCUGAAUAUGGGGGGACCAUCCUCCAAGGCUAAAUACUCCUGACUGACCGAUAGUGAACCAGUACCGUGAGGGAAAGGCGAAAAGAACCCCGGCGAGGGGAGUGAAAAAGAACCUGAAACCGUGUACGUACAAGCAGUGGGAGCCCCACCACUAAGCCAGUGGUGAACUCCACAUACGCAUCCUUUGCUGAGGAUACGGUUAACGGAGCGAAAGCGACGUUCAACCGCAAAAGAAGCAGAGGGGGCUUAGUGGUGGGGUGACUGCGUACCUUUUGUAUAAUGGGUCAGCGACUUAUAUUCUGUAGCAAGGUUAACCGCAUAGGGGAGCCG
Molecule: ribosomal RNA, 718 nt
Filed under: Salmonella enterica subsp. enterica serovar Agama
Lineage: Bacteria; Pseudomonadati; Pseudomonadota; Gammaproteobacteria; Enterobacterales; Enterobacteriaceae
Description: partial 23S ribosomal RNA
Rfam family: Bacterial large subunit ribosomal RNA
Source: RNAcentral